Molecule: ribosomal RNA, 456 nt
Filed under: uncultured Pelotomaculum sp.
Lineage: Bacteria; Bacillati; Bacillota; Clostridia; Eubacteriales; Desulfotomaculaceae
Description: bacterial SSU rRNA
Rfam family: Bacterial small subunit ribosomal RNA
Source: RNAcentral
ACAAGCGGUGGAGCAUGUGGUUAAUUCGACGCAACGCGAAGAACCUUACCAGGCUUGACAUCCCCUGACCGCGUAUGAAAGUACGUUUUCACCUCGGGUGACAGGGAGACAGGUGGUGCAUGGUUGUCGUCAGCUCGUGUCGUGAGAUGUUGGGUUAAGUCCCGCAACGAGCGCAACCCCUACGUUUAGUUGCUAACGCGUGAAGGCGAGCACUCUAGACGAACUGCCGUUGACAAAACGGAGGAAGGUGGGAUGACGUCAAAUCAUCAUGCCCCUUAUGUUCUGGGCUACACACGUGCUACAAUGGCCGGUACAGACGGACGCAAAGCCGCGAGGUGGAGCAAAUCCUAAAAAGCCGGUCUCAGUUCGGAUUGCAGGCUGCAAUUCGCCUGCAUGAAGUCGGAAUCGCUAGUAAUCGCAGGUCAGCAUACUGCGGUGAAUACGUUCCCGGGUCUU